Molecule: ribosomal RNA, 225 nt
Filed under: uncultured Pseudomonadota bacterium
Lineage: Bacteria; Pseudomonadati; Pseudomonadota
Description: uncultured proteobacterium partial 16S ribosomal RNA
Rfam family: Bacterial small subunit ribosomal RNA
Source: RNAcentral
UUGGUUAAGUGUGCGCAGGCGGUUUGUAGUCUGAUGUGAAUCCCCGGGCUCAACCUGGGAAUUGCAUUGGAGACUGCAAGGCUAGAAUCUGGCAGAGGGGUAGGAAUUCCACGUGUAGCAGUGAAAUGCGUAGAUAUGUGGAGGAACACCGAUGGCGAAGGCAGCCCCCUCGGGUCAAGAUUGACGCUCAUGCACGAAAGCGUGGGGAGCAAACAGGAUUAGAUA